CAAAUGUCAAAAAUUGGCCCUGCCCGGGGGCAGUGAUUCUCAUUAUGUACAUGUAGUAAAAACAGAAAAUAAAACAAAUUUUUUCUGAAUGGGAGAAAGCUAUAGCUUAGAUAUUUGACUUGAAAUGUUGUUUGGUGGACCUGUAUCAAGAUUGUUAUUAAACCCUUGGGUCAAAAUUAUGCUUUGCCCAAGGGGACAGUGACCUACUUUCUUGUCCUUUGAUGUACAGCAAUGACAUUUUGACGAUGUGCACAGUUUUAGUUGUAAAAUUGAACUUUGACCUAGAUUUUGAUGAUGUGACCUACUUUCUUGUCCUUUGAUGUACAGCUAUGAAAUUUGAACCAUGUGGUGGCAUAGCAUUUUUCUCAAAUGCAAUCUUGUUCAGUUAUUGCCCUUUGUUAUUUUCUGCCAUCAGUAUUCACAUAGGUUUCAAAUCUGUAAUCACUAUAGCUAUCAGUUUUCAUUACCAAAAGAUUUCUUAAAAUGGAAUUAUUCUGCUCUACUACAUAUACAUUCUUCCAAUGAGCAAACACAUUCGGCGGGGGAUGGCCAUGUUGACAUGGCUCUUGUUCAUUUUGACACUUUGAACUUUGUCCGGGACAUUACUCUAAAAUUAUAAGAGAUAUCAACAUGAAACUUUGUAGAUAGAUAGGUCUUAUUGGGUAGAAGUGCAGUGCUUAAGAAUCAUUACUCUGCCUUGCCUUAUUUUGAAGUUAUUGCCCUUUGUUCAUUUUUAGCUCGACUUUUUUUUGAAAAAAAAAGUAGAGGUAUUGUUAUAGUCGGGUCGGCGUUGCCGUUGCCGUCCGCAAACUUGUACCUGGAUCAUAACUUUUUUAUUUCUUGGUGUAUUGUCUUCAUACUUGGCCACAACAACCCUUGGGACAAGACCUUUCAGUAGACCACAAUAACCUUGACCUUCAUCCAUAAAUGACCUUGACCUUCAAGGUUAAAAGUCCAAUUUUUGCUUGUUCAUGCUGUUAUUGGCUGUAACUUUGUUAUUUUUGAAUGGAUUGUCUUCAAACUUGAACAUAAUAAUCUUCAAGGAUAUCCCUUAAAAAUAACCCGCCAGACUUUGACGUUCACUCAUAAAUGACCUUGACUUUGAAGGUCAAAUUAUUGAAAUUUUCAUUAUACCCCCACAAACGAAGUUUAGGGGGGGUAUAUAGGAGUCAGCUUGUUGGUCGGUCGGUUGGUCGGUCGGUCCGUCCGUCCGUUGGUCGGUCCACAUCAUGGUUUCCGGACGAUAACUAGAGUUUGGAAUGAGGUAUUGUAAUCAAACUUGGUAUAUAGCAACCUUAUGUGAAAACUCCGGUUGGUAUUGCAUUUGGACCCCCUGGGGUCAAGGUCAAGGUCACCGUUACUAAAAAUAGAAGAAUGGUUUCUGGACAAUUAAACUACAUUUAGGAAUGAGAUACUGUUAUCAAACUUGGUGUAUAGCAAGCUUAUAUGAAGACCUGGGUUGGUAUUGCAUUUGGACCCCCUGGGGUCAAGGUCAAGGUCACCGUUACUAAAAAUAGAAAAAUGGUUUCCGGACAAUAACUAGAGUUAGGAAUGAGAUAUUGUUAUCAAACUUGGCGUAUAGAAAGCUUAUAUGAAGACCUGGGUUGGUAUUGCAUUUGGACCCCCUGGGGUCAAGGUCAAAGUCACCAUUACUAAAAAUAGAAAAAUGAUUUCCGUACAAUAACUAGAGUUAGGAAUGAGAUAUUGUUAUCAAACUUGUGUAUACCCCCACAAACGAAGUUUAGGGGGGGUAUAUAGGAGUCAGCUUGUCCGUCGGUCGGUCCACAUCAUGGUUUCCGGACGAUAACUAGAGUUUGGAAUGAGGUAUUGUAAUCAAACUUGGUAUAUAGCAACCUUAUGUGAAAACUCCGGUUGGUAUUGCAUUUGGACCCCCUGGGGUCAAGGUCAAGGUCACCGUUACUAAAAAUAGAAAAAUGGUUUCCGGACAAUAACUAGAGUUAGGAAUGAGAUAUUGUUAUCAAACUUGGCGUAUAGAAAGCUUAUAUGAAGACCUGGGUUGGUAUUGCAUUUGGACCCCCUGGGGUCAAGGUCACCGUUACUAAAAAUAGAAAAAUGGUUUCCGGACAAUAACUACAGUUAGGAAUGAGAUAUUGUUAUCAAACUUGGUGUAUAGCAAGCUUAUAUGAAGACCUGGGUUGGUAUUGCAUUUGGACCCCCUGGGGUCAAGGUCAAGGUUAC
Ruditapes philippinarum (Manila clam) is the source of this 2199-nucleotide long non-coding RNA. RefSeq lists it as uncharacterized. The transcript is spliced from 3 exons. The record is from RefSeq and is a predicted model, not a curated record. Lineage: Eukaryota; Metazoa; Mollusca; Bivalvia; Venerida; Veneridae.